CCCUCCGGGAUACAGCAGUGACUAACAUUAAGCUAUAAACGAAAGUUUGACUGAGUCAUAAUUUAACAGGGUUGGUAAAUUUCGUGCCAGCCACCGCGGUCAUACGAUUAACCCAAAUUAACAGAUCACCGGCGUAAAGCGUGUUUAAGUAUAAUACUCUAAUAAAGUUAAAACCUGACUAAGCUGUAAAACGUUAUAGUUAAUACCAAAAUAUGCAACUAAAGUGACUUUAAUCUGCACUGAACACACGAUAGCUAAGGCACAAACUGGGAUUAGAUACCCCACUAUGCUUAGCCCUAAACCCAAAUAGUUAAAAAACAAAACUAUUCGCCAGGGAACUACUAGCUAAUGCUUAAAACUCAAAGGACUUGGCGGUGCCCUAAACCCACCUAGAGGAGCCUGUUCUAUAAUCGAUAAACCCCGAUAAACCCCACCUCUUCUUGCCAAUACAGCCUAUAUACCGCCAUCGUCAGCUCACCCCAAUAGGGAUCCAAAGUAGGCAAAACUAURACACCAUAAAACGUUAGGUCAAGGUGUAGCAUAUGAAGAGGGAAGCAAUGGGCUACAUUUUCUAAACUAGAACAUAACGAACGGCCUUAUGAAAUUUAAGACCUGAAGGAGGAUUUAGUAGUAAAUUAGGAAUAGAGAGCCUAAUUGAAAUAGCA
This 665-nucleotide ribosomal RNA is filed under the name Dromiciops bozinovici (Panchoss monito del monte). RNAcentral describes it as "partial small subunit ribosomal RNA". The record is from RNAcentral. Lineage: Eukaryota; Metazoa; Chordata; Mammalia; Microbiotheria; Microbiotheriidae.